This 459-nucleotide ribosomal RNA is filed under the name uncultured bacterium. Its description in RNAcentral is "partial 16S ribosomal RNA". It matches the Rfam family "Bacterial small subunit ribosomal RNA", at positions 338 to 795 of the family's 1533-position model. The record is from RNAcentral.
CCUACGGGAGGCAGCAGUGAGGAAUAUUGGUCAAUGGGCGAGAUCCUGAACCAGCCAAGCCGCGUGAGGGAAGACGGCACUAUGGGUUGUAAACCUCUUUUGUCGGGGAACAAAACCCGGGACGUGUCCCGGACUGCGUGUAUCCGAAGAAAAAGCAUCGGCUAACUCCGUGCCAGCAGCCGCGGUAAUACGGAGGAUGCGAGCGUUAUCCGGAUUUAUUGGGUUUAACGGGUGCGUAGGCGGUCCGUUAAGUCAGCGGUAAAAUUGCGGGGCUCAACCCUGUCGAGCCGUUGAAACUGGCAGACUCGAGUUGGAGAGAAGUAUGCGGAAUGCGCGGUGUAGCGGUGAAAUGCAUAGAUAUCGCGCAGAACUCCGAUUGCGAAGGCAGCAUACCGGCUCCAGACUGACGCUGAGGCACGAAAGCGUGGGGAUCGAACAGGAUUAGAUACCCGUGUAGUC